AACGAACGCUGGCGGCAUGCCUAACACAUGCAAGUCGAACGAGACCUUCGGGUCUAGUGGCGCACGGGUGCGUAACGCGUGGGAACCUGCCCUUAGGUUCGGAAUAACUCCCCGAAAGGGGUGCUAAUACCGGAUAAUGUCUUCGGACCAAAGAUUUAUCGCCUUUGGAUGGGCCCUCGUUGGAUUAGCUAGUUGGUAGGGUAAAAGCCUACCAAGGCGACGAUCCAUAGCUGGGUUGAGAGGAUGAUCAGCCACACCGGGACUGAGACACGGCCCAGACUCCUACGGGAGGCGGCAGUGGGGAAUAUUGGACAAUGGGCGAAAGCCUGAUCCAGCAAUGCCGCGUGAGUGAUGUAGGCCUUAGAGUUGUAAAGCUCUUUUACCCGGGAUGAUAAUGACAGUACCGGGAGAAUAAGCUCCGGCUAACUCCGUG
RNAcentral lists this ribosomal RNA (433 nucleotides) under uncultured bacterium. RNAcentral describes it as "partial 16S ribosomal RNA". It matches the Rfam family "Bacterial small subunit ribosomal RNA", at positions 29 to 507 of the family's 1533-position model. The record is from RNAcentral.